AAUAAAAAUCCGAAUUAUACCUGUAUAAGUUUCUAAUAUGGAGAAAUGUUUCUACGGAGCACCUUAAAAAGCUCUACUAUAGGUUAAUAUUGAAUUUAU
Molecule: non-coding RNA, 99 nt
Filed under: Clostridium colicanis 209318
Lineage: Bacteria; Bacillati; Bacillota; Clostridia; Eubacteriales; Clostridiaceae
Description: Purine riboswitch aptamer
Rfam family: Purine riboswitch aptamer
About the family: Riboswitches are metabolite binding domains within certain messenger RNAs that serve as precision sensors for their corresponding targets.
Source: Rfam by way of RNAcentral